UACGUAGGGUGCGAGCGUUGUCCGGAUUUAUUGGGCGUAAAGAGCUCGUAGGCGGUUUGUCGCGUCGGGAGUGAAAACCUUGGGCUUAACUCAGGGCUUGCUUUCGAUACGGGCAGACUAGAGGUAUGCAGGGGAGAACGGAAUUCCUGGUGUAGCGGUGAAAUGCGCAGAUAUCAGGAGGAACACCGGUGGCGAAGGCGGGUCUCUGGGCAGUAACUGACGCUGAGGAGCGAAAGCGUGGGGAGCGAACAGG
RNAcentral lists this ribosomal RNA (253 nucleotides) under uncultured bacterium. RNAcentral describes it as "partial 16S ribosomal RNA". It matches the Rfam family "Bacterial small subunit ribosomal RNA", at positions 524 to 776 of the family's 1533-position model. The record is from RNAcentral.